This 329-nucleotide ribosomal RNA is filed under the name uncultured eukaryote. RNAcentral's name for it is "partial 18S ribosomal RNA". It matches the Rfam family "Eukaryotic small subunit ribosomal RNA", at positions 1470 to 1796 of the family's 1831-position model. The record is from RNAcentral.
CCCUUAGAUGUUCUGGGCCGCACGUGCGCUACACUGAUGCAUUCAACGAGUCUAAAACCUGCUCUGAUAGGGGUGGGUAAUCUUUUGAAUGUGCAUCGUGAUUGGGAUAGAUGAUUGCAAUUUUUCAUCUUCAACGAGGAAUGCCUAGUAAACGCAAGUCAUCAGCUUGCAUUGAUUACGUCCCUGCCCUUUGUACACACCGCCCGUCGCUCCUACCGAUUGAAUGAUCCGAUGAAUAUCAUGGAUUGAGGAUGCAAGUAGGUUAGCCUAUCUUCAUCUUCGAGAAGUGAAGUAAAUCUUAUCAUUUAGAGGAAGGAGAAGUCGUAACA